Molecule: ribosomal RNA, 117 nt
Filed under: Danio rerio (zebrafish)
Lineage: Eukaryota; Metazoa; Chordata; Actinopteri; Cypriniformes; Danionidae
Source: RNAcentral
AGAAACAGCCGUAUCACCCUGCAGCCCAAGACCGGUUACUCACUGUAGCUAAGCUGGGCUGAGCCUAGUCAGUACCUGGAUGGGAGACCAUAUGGGAAAGCUAGGUUGCUGUUGGAA